RNAcentral lists this ribosomal RNA (68 nucleotides) under Megasphaera sp. NM10. RNAcentral describes it as "partial 16S ribosomal RNA". It matches the Rfam family "Bacterial small subunit ribosomal RNA", at positions 1 to 71 of the family's 1533-position model. The record is from RNAcentral. Lineage: Bacteria; Bacillati; Bacillota; Negativicutes; Veillonellales; Veillonellaceae.
AUGGAGAGUUUGAUCCUGGCUCAGGACGAACGCUGGCGGCGUGCUUAACACAUGCAAGUCGAACGAGA